CCCACAGCAGCGCGGUGCGUACUUCCGGCUGCCGGGUUGACAUGAAGAAGCAGCGGCUAGGGCGGCGGUAGCGGUGGCAGCCGAGGCUUGCAGCGGGACUCCCGGCGGAGUGCGCGACGCGGCCUAGAGCGGCAGACGGCGCGGUAGGCCGAGGAGGGGGCGCAGCAGCCGCCCUGGCCCGUCAUGGAGAUGGAAAAGGAGUUCGAGCAGAUCGACAAGGCCGGGAGCUGGGCGGCCAUUUACCAGGAUAUCCGCCACGAAGCCAGCGACUUCCCAUGUAGAGUGGCCAAGCUUCCCAAAAACAAAAACCGAAACAGGUACAGAGAUGUCAGUCCCUUUGACCAUAGUCGGAUUAAACUACAUCAAGAAGAUAACGACUAUAUCAAUGCUAGUUUGAUAAAAAUGGAAGAAGCGCAGAGAAGUUACAUUCUUACCCAGGGCCCUUUGCCUAAUACCUGUGGUCACUUUUGGGAGAUGGUGUGGGAGCAGAAAAGCAGGGGCGUGGUCAUGCUCAAUAGAGUGAUGGAGAAGGGAUCGUUAAAAUGUGCACAGUACUGGCCACAAAAAGAAGAAAGAGAAAUGAUCUUUGAAGACACAAAUUUGAAAUUAACAUUGAUCUCUGAAGAUAUUAAGUCAUAUUACACAGUACGACAACUAGAAUUGGAAAACCUGACAUCUAAAGAAACUCGAGAGAUCCUACAUUUCCACUAUACCACGUGGCCUGACUUCGGGGUCCCCGAAUCGCCAGCCUCAUUCCUGAACUUUCUUUUCAAAGUCCGAGAGUCGGGGUCACUCAACCGGGAGCACGGCCCAGUUGUGGUGCACUGCAGCGCCGGCAUCGGCAGGUCGGGGACCUUCUGUCUUGCUGACACCUGUCUCUUGCUGAUGGACAAAAGGAAAGACCCUUCUUCUGUUGAUAUCAAGAAAGUUCUGUUAGAAAUGAGGAAGUUUCGGAUGGGACUGAUCCAGACAGCAGACCAGCUCCGUUUCUCCUACCUAGCUGUGAUCGAAGGUGCCAAAUUCAUCAUGGGAGACUCUUCAGUGCAGGAGCAAUGGAAGGAGCUCUCCCACGAGGACCUGGAGCCCCCACCUGAGCAUGUCCCACCCCCUCCCCGACCACCCAAACGAAUCCUGGAGCCACACAAUGGGAAAUGCAAGGAGUUCUUCCCAAACCACCAGUGGGUAAAGGAUGAGUCCGAGGAGGAUAAAGAAGAUGGCCCCAUCAAGGAAGAAACCAGAACCCCCUUAAGUGUCCCCUGUAACAUGGAAAGCGCGAGUCAAGACACUGAAGUCAGAAGGCGGGUCGUGGGGGCAGGUUCUACCCAGGAGGAGCCGUCGCCACCCGAGGAGGAGCAGGACCAGGCGCUGACUCACUGGAAGCCCUUUCUGGUCAACAUGUGCAUGGCCACGGUCCUCACGGCUGGCGCGUACCUCUGCUACAGGGUAUGUUUUCACUGACGGACGUGCUGGUGAGACCAUGUGUACAGAAAGCACUGGCCAACAGCCUGGCGUUAGCAUUCAGUGCUGUGGAAGGAUCUGAGCCAGUCUCAGAAGAAACAGAUCAAAGGUUUUUAAGUCUGGAACUGUGAAGGGCUAACGAGAGAAUUGAGGAUUGAUGCACUGGGGUUUUAAGGAGCCCUGUGGUCCCAAGAAUACAAGCGUCUAAUCUCAGGGCCUUAACCUAUUCAGGAUUCCAGUUCAACAGCAACACAUAAUCUGACCCACCUCCAUCCCACUGCCCGCUCCGCUCACAGAGCCCGCACCUGACUAGCAGGCAACGUGGUAGGUAAGGGCCGACGCACAGCGUGGCCAGUUUGACGGGGCAGAUGUUUGCCCUGCGCUGAAACUACCCUCCCCAGCUGUUGGUAGUUUGAAACUACCCCUUUCAUUUUACUUCCCCCCCCACCCCUUCUUUAUGUACCAAAUCCACAACCUGUCUUUUUGAGGAGAGCAGAAGAGGGUCCCAUGCUGGUGGCACAGAGGAAGGUGGCCUGUGCAGGGCGGCACACGGCUUUUCCCGGGAGACUGCGGAGACUGCGUGUUGUGAGCCUCUCCACUCCAUAUUUAUUUUUUUAUUUUUUCCCCAGAGGCAUCCAUAGUGCACUAGCAUUUUCUUAAACCAAUAAUGUAUUAAAACGUUUUGAUGUCAGCCUUGCAUGAAAGGCUUUCUCAAAAAGUACAAUAAUAAACCCUCAGGUAGUGCUGAGAACGUAUGACUUUGCCAUGAGCCCGCUGUGUCAGAGGAAGGAGGACAGCUGUGAGCAGUGGGUAUUUCAUGACACUGUGGGUAAUGUGAGAGGAGGUUUGGCAUUUGUUUAUAGAGAGUGGGGUAAUAUAUAACGAACACUUGGAUAUUUAACAUACAUGACAGGAGAUGACUUUGUCCGGUUAUUCCCCGCCCCAGUUUUAUCUACUAGAACUUUAUUCUCCAUCACCGCUUUCCCCGUGGGUAUUAGAAUGCAUGUUCAGUCUUGUGUCCUGAUCAAAUACCACGUGCUUGAAAUACUUAGAUCUCUGCUUAUAAAGUGCCCCGUGUAUAAGUCAGAUUUCCCCUUGCAUGAUCAGAUCAUUACAUGCUGUGGUUCCUAAGACUGUUGCUGAACUAUUCGCUGUUCAGCACUGGAGGGAUGUUUCCAGUAACAGAUACUGGCCUAAUUCCUGGCAUGAGACUCUGGUGACUUCCUGGUGAGGUCCGGCUGGGUCCCACUGUAACUCAAACAUUCCAAGGAGAUGGGAAGCCAUAGUCACACCUCACGCUCUGGACGUUUAGGCAAGCAGGGUCCCCUGCACACACCUUUGGGAUCAGCCUCCACUAUCCCAAGUGCACACUCUUCUUGAGAAGACUGUGAUUUGGAACCAAGGCAACUGUUGGAAACCACACCUGAAGCAACCUGGAUGAUGAUGGUCCCUUGGAGUCAGCCGGCUGCUGUCUCAGUCGGGAGGGCCUUGCUGACAGAGGCCUGUCUGCCCCUGCCCUUGAACCCUGGGGACUGAUGGUGCUCACGACUCUUCUUGUGAGGGGAACUUAAGACCUCCACAUUAAGUGGCUUUUUUAACAAGAAAAAAAGGCAGCUGUAGCUCAUGAGCUGCUCUUUUGCCAGCAUUUUCACAUUUUGCCUUUCACGUGUUAGAAGCCCGUGCAGAGAAAUUCUGUGGUGGGAACAUUUGAGACAUCGCCCCGCAGAGCCCUGUGAGGUGUGGAUGAGGCCGAGGUGCCAGGCUGUAAGCAUUUUGAGUUGGGCUUGUUCGUUUUUGAAGUCCUGUAUAUGUAUGUAGUAGUUUGAGUGUGUAUAUAUAGUAGCAUUUCAAAAUGGAUAUAAUGGUUUAACCUCCUAUCUUUGGAAAACAGAUGGCUCUCCAUCUUGUUACACGUAUGUUAGAGAAGUAGCGAGCUGCUCUGCUAUAUGCCUUAAACCAAUAUUUACUCAGCAGGCCAUUAUUUUUUACAAUGGCCAUGGAAUAAACCAUUUUUACAAAAAUAAAAGCAAACAAAAAAAGCGAGGUGUUUUGGUAUAAUACCUUUUCAGGUGUGUGUAUACGUGGAUGCAUGAUGGGGUGGGGCGGGGGGCGCGUCUCAGGGUCUUCUGUGAUUUCACAGAACUGUCAAACUGUACAGUUUUCCAACUUGCCAUAUAAAAACGAUGGGUUUGCAUUUUAGUUGCAACAAUAAAAUUUUUUUUCCUAAAGAA
RNA transcript from Myotis brandtii (Brandt's bat), 3689 nucleotides. It is a transcript of the gene named protein tyrosine phosphatase, non-receptor type 1, with no coding region annotated. Lineage: Eukaryota; Metazoa; Chordata; Mammalia; Chiroptera; Vespertilionidae. The transcript is spliced from 10 exons. The record is from RefSeq and is a predicted model, not a curated record.